CUUUCUCCCUCUCUUGUCGUGGGGGCAUCUUUUGUCGGAGACGGUUUUCCAGUUGAAGAACAUCCGAAUCAAAUUAUUCCGUCCUUUUUCCUAAGAUUCAAAUAUGGUUCUGGUCUUCUGUGGAACCGGUCAUCGUUCAGAGGUAGGUUUCGAACCACAUGUGCUCCGUAAGACAUAAUCCUUGGCCUUGACUAGAGAGAGACUGGAAGCUCUGACAGCGAUAGUUAAAGUGCGAGAUUUUUUUCAUCUGCCGAGGUCAGGUGCUUCGGAUGUCAUCAUGGCCCGUUUUGGCCGCCUUUUGAACGUGUCACCAAUACGGAAAUCUGUUAAUAUUUCUAAACGUGUACAAAUUUAAAUUUAUGUCUGUGUCUUCAUGUAUUGUGAUAGUGAUGUAAAUAAAAGAUUGAUGCAUCAUUAUGCUAUCAUUCUUGCUUCUGGAUUUUUCAU
Long non-coding RNA from Stegodyphus dumicola, 447 nucleotides. RefSeq lists it as uncharacterized. The record is from RefSeq and is a predicted model, not a curated record. Lineage: Eukaryota; Metazoa; Arthropoda; Arachnida; Araneae; Eresidae.